This 503-nucleotide ribosomal RNA is filed under the name uncultured bacterium. RNAcentral describes it as "partial 16S ribosomal RNA". It matches the Rfam family "Bacterial small subunit ribosomal RNA", at positions 30 to 523 of the family's 1533-position model. The record is from RNAcentral.
AUUGAACGCUGGCGGCAGGCUUAACACAUGCAAGUCGAGCGGGGUGAUGGUGCUUGCACUAUCACUUAGCGGCGGACGGGUGAGUAAUGCUUAGGAAUCUGCCUAUUAGUGGGGGACAACAUCUCGAAAGGGAUGCUAAUACCGCAUACGUCCUACGGGAGAAAGCAGGGGAUCACUUGUGACCUUGCGCUAAUAGAUGAGCCUAAGUCGGAUUAGCUAGUUGGUGGGGUAAAGGCCUACCAAGGCGACGAUCUGUAGCGGGUCUGAGAGGAUGAUCCGCCACACUGGGACUGAGACACGGCCCAGACUCCUACGGGAGGCAGCAGUGGGGAAUAUUGGACAAUGAGGGGAACCCUGAUCCAGCCAUGCCGCGUGUGUGAAGAAGGCCUUAUGGUUGUAAAGCACUUUAAGCGAGGAGGAGGCUCUUUUGGUGAAUACCCAAGAUGAGUGGACGUUACUCGCAGAAUAAGCACCGGCUAACUCUGUGCCAGCCGCCGCAGUAA